GGAUCGGAAUGUGGCUCAAGUUCGGGAGGCGUUACCUGCGGAGGGUUUGAGGCAGGCCCAGGAGCGAGCCCAUGGUCUUCCGACGCGGGGCCAGGGGCGGGGCCCAGGAUCCGGAGCUUCGUGCGGGGCCGAGUCCAGGUUUGGGGCCCGGGAGGCGGGGCCAGUUAGGGCGAGGGUCCCUGGGAUCGUCGGGUCAGGCCUUGGGCUAACGUAGGCACUCUCGCAGUUCCUCCGCCUUCAGGAAGGUCUUUUCAGCAGGGGCCUUACGGGUGCAUGCUUCGGUCCUGGAGGCCUUAUCCUAGCCUCCUCUCCAUCAGCGCCACCCGUCUGGGGCCCGAAAGGAGGGAGCUUUCCCUCUGUCCCCCAGCCUUUGGACUGUCACUAAACAAGCCAUUCGUUCAUCAAAUACUUUUUAAGCGCCUACCAUGUGCCUGACAAGGGAGAUGUAACGGUGAGAAAAACUAGGUGUGGUCCAGGCCCUUCAGGGGCUCAGGUGCUCGUGGAAGAAGUGGACAUUGAAGUACUUAUCACACAAAUGAGGAUAAAAGUACGAUAACGAUAUCUACCACGAAGUCCCUGUAUCCUGAGAUGGAGUCACCUGAGAAUCCACAGCAAGUCCUAACCAGGGAUGGGUCUGGGUGAUUAAGGAAGGUUGGCUUCAGAACUGGGCCAGGGGCACUGCUUUGCUUUUGCUGUUUUGAUCAGCUCUCUGCCUGAAGGAGACAAGAAAAACCAACGGGAACAGACCAACAGGUAUUCUACCAUAUAAGAAAUAUGAUGUUCUCUGUACAUUGAAGAGUUGGUCUAAUAUUUGGCCUGGUGGAUGGAGAAAUUGCCUGUCUGCUCCGCUCUGGUUGAAGAAACCAGUCUGACUGUCUCUGAGGCUAUGGAGCAGUCCAUGAAGAAUGAAAGCCCUUGGCCAGGCACAUUGGCUCACACCUGUAAUACCAGCGCUUUGGGAGGCCGAGGCAGGUGGAUCACUUGAAGUCACGAGUUUGACACCAGCAUGGCCAACAUGGUGAAACGCUGUCUCUACAGAAAAUAGAAAAAUUAGCUGGGCCUGGUGACACGUGCCUGUAAUCCCAGCUACUCAGGAGGCUGAGGCAGGAGAAUCACUUGAACCUGGGAGGCAGAGGUUGCAGUGGGGAGCUGAGAUCACACCACUGCAUUCCAGCCUGGGCGACAGAGCGAGACUCUCUCAAAAAAAAAAAAAAAAAAGAAUGAAUGUCCUCAUGAUGGCCUCAAGCACAUUGGUCCCUGAAGAGAGCCAAGGAAGGCCCACUUUACUCUGCACUGCAAAGCAGGCAGGUGGACAGGAUGAGAAGUGGAUUCAGUGACAGGCAUUGACCCAAAGGAUUUUCUGCCUAAUGGUCGGUUCAGCAGAAGAUUAAACUGAGCACAGCAUCCUGUUCCCUCAAACUGUCUGGUUGGUCAGUGGGGAAUGUUCUUGUCUCGUUAAAUGUCCUCAUGCUACUGUCAAGAUAUCCUGUUACAAAACAUCAUAAACCAGGUUUACAAAUAGGCCAGGUGACUGUGGAAUUUCUCCUUGGCAAGGCCUUAGCUAUGGGCAUGCGAUUGGUGUGCAGUAAUCACAGUGUUCCGGGCCACUUGAGGGAUAAAAUAUACCUUAGGUGAUAAACUGUUGUAUUUUAAUGUGAAUAUUUCCACCAACACUAAACAGUAACCCCAUGAGUUUUCUCAUACCUGUUACACUGUGGAGUUGCAACAAGCUAACAAGCAAGUUGCAAACAGAAUUAUCGCAUUUGGCUCUUAUUCACAGCCAGGGUUCUUCAAGCUGUACCUGGGACAGUCUUCCCUCACAUGAGGUUUAUAGCAUCAUUUAUUUCAUUAUUUAUUUAUUUUUUGAGACGGAGUUUCGCUCUGUCGCCCAGGCUGGAGUGCAAUGGCGCGAUCUUGGCUCACUGCAACCUCUGCCCCCCCGGGGUUCACGCGAUUCUCCCGCCUAAGCCUCCCGAGUAGCUGGGAUUAUAGGCACCCGCCACCACGCCCGGCUAAUUUUUGUAUUUUUAGUAGAGAUGGAGUUUUACCAUGUUGACCGGGCUGGUCUCAAACUCCUGACUUCAGGUGAUCCACCCGCCUCAGCCUCCCAAAGUGUUGGGAUUACUGGCAUAAGCCACAGCGCCCGGCUAUAGCAUCAUUUAAACUUUGUUUCUGCCAUGAAUUGUUAGUUGGUAGUUAACAAAAAAUAGACCACCUCAUUUAUGUCUCACAGUUAGCAUUGGUUUUUGUGUUUUCUUUAGGCUUGUUUUUUAAUUGUUUUUAAAAUUGUGAAACAGGGUCUUGUUCUGUUGCUGAGGCCAGAGUGCAGUGACACAAUCUUGUCUCGCUGCAGCCUCAACCUCCUGGGCCCAAGCAAUCCUCUCACUUUAGCCUCCUGAGUAGCUGGGACUGCAAACAGGAGCCACC
RNAcentral lists this long non-coding RNA (2427 nucleotides) under Homo sapiens (human). RNAcentral's name for it is "HSALNT0345286". The record is from RNAcentral. Lineage: Eukaryota; Metazoa; Chordata; Mammalia; Primates; Hominidae.